RNAcentral lists this ribosomal RNA (433 nucleotides) under uncultured bacterium. RNAcentral describes it as "partial 16S ribosomal RNA". It matches the Rfam family "Bacterial small subunit ribosomal RNA", at positions 29 to 507 of the family's 1533-position model. The record is from RNAcentral.
AACGAACGCUGGCGGUAGGCCUAACACAUGCAAGUCGAACGACGUCUUCGUACUUAGUGGCGCACGCGUGAGUAACACGUGGGAAUAUACCUUACGCCGUGGGAUAACAUCGUGAAACUGAUGCUAAUACCGCAUACGCUCCUCGGGGGAAAGAUUCAUCGGCGAAAGAUUAGCCCGCGUCCUAUUAGCUAGUUGCGGAGGUAAUGGCUCACCACGGCUCCGAUCGUUAGCUGGUCUGAGAGGAUGACCAGCCACACUGAGACGGAGACACGGCGCAGACUCCUAGAGGAGGCGGCAGUGCCGGAUAUUGCACUAUCGGCGGAAGCCUGAUCGAGCCAUGCCGCGUGAGUGAUGAAGGCGUGAGAGAUGUACAGCUCUUUCACCCACGACGAUGAUGACAGUAGUGAAAGAAUAAGCCCCGGCUAACUUCGUG